CCAGGUUCUGCUGACAGCGAAGGCUGGGAACGGCGACUUUCCCCUGGCAGCUGGAGGGAUGAGGAACCAGCCGGAGGUGCCCUCUUGCCAACUAAGUCCAGUGGGUGCCACGCUGCUCGGUAUGCGAAAGAAGUUCGGGACAAGUUGGCACACCACUUCAUCACAGCCGGCCAAGUUCCCUGGCAAGUUAAAGUGGUCACCAGUACUUGAACUGCACAAGAACUGCAGGUCUCGAUGUCCGCUGCCAUGGUGUCCGAGGAAACCCCUGGUUGGACGCCAUCUGUAGCUUCUGCUCGGCUGCAACGACCAUG
Long non-coding RNA from Dermacentor silvarum, 311 nucleotides. RefSeq lists it as uncharacterized. The transcript is spliced from 3 exons. Lineage: Eukaryota; Metazoa; Arthropoda; Arachnida; Ixodida; Ixodidae. The record is from RefSeq and is a predicted model, not a curated record.